Molecule: transfer RNA, 90 nt
Filed under: Candidatus Saccharibacteria bacterium RIFCSPHIGHO2_02_FULL_47_12
Lineage: Bacteria; Candidatus Saccharimonadota
Description: tRNA-Ser
Rfam family: tRNA
About the family: Transfer RNA (tRNA) molecules are approximately 80 nucleotides in length.
Source: RNAcentral
GGAGAGGUGUCCGAGUGGUUUAAGGAGAUAGUCUUGAAAACUAUUGUGCCGGCAACGGUACCGUGGGUUCGAAUCCCACCCUCUCCGCCA